Molecule: ribosomal RNA, 465 nt
Filed under: uncultured bacterium
Lineage: Bacteria
Description: partial 16S ribosomal RNA
Rfam family: Bacterial small subunit ribosomal RNA
Source: RNAcentral
CCUACGGGGUGCAGCAGUGGGGAAUAUUGCGCAAUGGGCGAAAGCCUGACGCAGCGACGCCGCGUGAGGGAUGAAGGUCUUCGGAUCGUAAACCUCUGUCAGCAGGGAAGAACGGUCACUGUGCUAAUCAGCAGUGAAUUGACGGUACCUGCAAAGGAAGCACCGGCUAACUCCGUGCCAGCAGCCGCGGUAAUACGGAGGGUGCGAGCGUUAAUCGGAAUUACUGGGCGUAAAGCGCUCGUAGGCGGUAUGUCAAGUCAAGGGUGAAAUCCCCGCGCUCAACGUGGGAACUGCCUUUGAAGCUGGCAAAAUGGAGUGUGUGAAGGGAUAGUGGAAUUCCAGGUGUAGGAGUGAACUCCGUAGAUUUCUGGAGGAACAUCAGUGGCGAAGGCGACUAUCUGGCACAUAACUGACGCUGAGGAGCGAAAGCGUGGGUAGCAAACAGGAUUAGAUACCCUUGUAGUC